Molecule: ribosomal RNA, 779 nt
Filed under: Brevundimonas sp.
Lineage: Bacteria; Pseudomonadati; Pseudomonadota; Alphaproteobacteria; Caulobacterales; Caulobacteraceae
Description: bacterial SSU rRNA
Rfam family: Bacterial small subunit ribosomal RNA
Source: RNAcentral
UCGGAGUUAGUGGCGGACGGGUGAGUAACACGUGGGAACGUGCCUUUAGGUUCGGAAUAACUCAGGGAAACUUGUGCUAAUACCGAAUGUGCCCUUCGGGGGAAAGAUUUAUCGCCUUUAGAGCGGCCCGCGUCUGAUUAGCUAGUUGGUGAGGUAAAGGCUCACCAAGGCGACGAUCAGUAGCUGGUCUGAGAGGAUGAUCAGCCACAUUGGGACUGAGACACGGCCCAAACUCCUACGGGAGGCAGCAGUGGGGAAUCUUGCGCAAUGGGCGAAAGCCUGACGCAGCCAUGCCGCGUGAAUGAUGAAGGUCUUAGGAUUGUAAAAUUCUUUCACCGGGGACGAUAAUGACGGUACCCGGAGAAGAAGCCCCGGCUAACUUCGUGCCAGCAGCCGCGGUAAUACGAAGGGGGCUAGCGUUGCUCGGAAUUACUGGGCGUAAAGGGAGCGUAGGCGGACAUUUAAGUCAGGGGUGAAAUCCCGGGGCUCAACCUCGGAAUUGCCUUUGAUACUGGGUGUCUUGAGUAUGAGAGAGGUGUGUGGAACUCCGAGUGUAGAGGUGAAAUUCGUAGAUAUUCGGAAGAACACCAGUGGCGAAGGCGACACACUGGCUCAUUACUGACGCUGAGGCUCGAAAGCGUGGGGAGCAAACAGGAUUAGAUACCCUGGUAGUCCACGCCGUAAACGAUGAUUGCUAGUUGUCGGGAUGCAUGCAUUUCGGUGACGCAGCUAACGCAUUAAGCAAUCCGCCUGGGGAGUACGGUCGCAAGAUUAAAACU